UACAGAGGUGGCAAGCGUUGUUCGGAAUUACUGGGCGUAAAGGGCGCGUAGGUGGCCUUCUUAGUCAGACGUGAAAUCCCCAGGCUUAACCUGGGGACUGCAUUUGAUACUGAUUGGCUUGAAUGCAGGAGAGGAUAGCGGAAUUCCCAGUGUAGAGGUGAAAUUCGUAGAUAUUGGGAAGACCACCGGUGGCGAAGGCGGCUAUCUGGACUGUGAUUGACGCUGAGGCGCGAAAGCGUGGGGAGCAAACAGG
This 253-nucleotide ribosomal RNA is filed under the name uncultured bacterium. Its description in RNAcentral is "partial 16S ribosomal RNA". It matches the Rfam family "Bacterial small subunit ribosomal RNA", at positions 524 to 776 of the family's 1533-position model. The record is from RNAcentral.